Molecule: RNA transcript, 1720 nt
Organism: Zea mays
Lineage: Eukaryota; Viridiplantae; Streptophyta; Magnoliopsida; Poales; Poaceae
Gene name: protein-like pseudogene
Exons: 8
Source: RefSeq, marked validated
CUUCACUGUAGGCGUCCACAGGCUUGGUUCUGCCAUCGCGCUCCGUCCGCGAUCCCCUCCCCGCGCCCGAUCCUCCACGCUCGAUCCUCGAAUCCCGCGGCUUCCUUCGAUGGCACGACCCCAUCCAUCUCGCCAGUGUCCGUGGUCCCCUCCCCGCGCUCCCCACCACGACGACACGACCCCAUCCAUCUCGCUGCUGUCCACGCCCAGUCGCGCCUCCCACGAUCACGCCCACGGACGCAACCUCCCUCCCUCCCCGUCCCCGUUCAUGUCGCCCCCGUCCGUGAUCCCCUCCCCGCCCUCCUCUCCGCGACCCCAUCCAUCCUGUCGCCGUCCACGCCCAGCAGCGCUCAAAAGCAAAAAAGGGUACGAAUACGAAUCCCAAUCCAGGGCCGGAGGGCGAGCGAACUCAAAAGCAAGCUGUUCCAGUCCAAUCCGCCCCAGUCCAAAUCUAAUCGCCGGGUUUAGGCAGAAGGGGUGGGACGCGGCGAGGUUUAGGCGGGGUUUGUUUUGUCCCUUUCGUGCGAUUCUGCUCUCCGCGCGGGAGGCAAGUACUGACGGAAGCGAAGACCAAGGCGGAGGAGGGGGUCCCCGGCGGUGGAAGUGGAACGCGCCGAUGCGCAAGUUUCAGGACUCCAUCAAGGCCCUCCAGGCCGACAUCGAUCAUGCCAAUGCGAUAGCAGGGUGUCGGAAUUCUUGAGGGACUACGAUGGCUCGGUCAUCCAGAUGCGGGUGGCGUACAGCGCCGUCGCGCAUUUCCUCCUGCAGUGGACCGACUGCAAGCUCGCCGGCGCGCUCGGCCUCCUCAAGGUUAUGCUAUACAAGGUGUGCGCGGACGGCUCGUCGGCGCUUCCUGAUUGGGACAUGGAGGCCAGCAUCAGGGAGUUUUACGGCGUCAUUUUCCCGUUGUUGCUGCAGCUUCCGAGUGGCAUCACCGAGCUGGACGACAGGAAGCAGAGGAAGCUCUGCCUCAAGAAAUUCAGGAGCAGGGAUGAGCAGCUCUGGGAGGUGGACACGGAGAGGGAGCUUGAGUGUGGGAUCUGCCUCGAGGAAAUGACACCUACUCUACUCCGCAGCUUAAAACCUCAAGAUAUGUCGGUAAUCAAACAAGUACAAGUUUCAAGGAAAUGGGAAUUUCAUGGAAAUACAGACAUUGGGUCCAUAUUACACAUUGAUAUGAUUUUGGCUGACAAAGAGCGCUGUCUGAGGUGCGUGGUCAAGUCGAGGCGAAGAUGAGCAAGGAGGAUGUGCUCAAGGUGCAGUUCUUGAUUUCAGAUCUCUGAAGCCAAUUACGUACACAUUUUCCUACCACGACUUUUAUUCUGCUUUCCGUUUCUCAACGUCUUGGACAUUGCCGGCGAGCGCGGUCUCCUCGACAACUUCUACUGCUAACUCGGGUGCAAGAUGCCCAGCAAACUUCCCAAUCCAGCUGCCGGCAAGGAGAUGAGGUUCCCGACGGCGACAAUUUUCCACUACACAACCGGAUUCUUCAGCAGCAUAUGGAUCCGUUGAAGCGCCGUGUGACAAUGCCACCAAAGAGCAGCAACAAACAAGCUCAAAGUCUCCGCUAACCACUAAUCUCAUAAAGCUUGAAUUUUCUCAUUGCUAUGUUUCCUUCUCCUAGCAAAGUUAAGAUGUUUGCACAUUUCUAGCUUAUUAGGUCCUUGUGUGGAAUGUGUUUGAACAAUGAUCUCAUUUAAACAAUAUCAACAUGUGUGAU